CGGCGGUCUGGCUGUCAAUCAUCCACAGGCUCUCCCAGAGCUUGCUAAGGUGCCUGGCAACACCUGCCGAAGUCGACAACUCACAGAGACCCAUCAUUCCACCGGCAGGACAGAAGGACAAACUAUGUUCUCAGCAGUGCUCACACUGCUUUGGGACCAAGAUGCCAUUAAGCUUUAUGCCUCUGACACGCACGGGCAGAUGUGGGAGACACCGGGCACCACGUAGGGGGAGGCUGAUGGCAGGGCACGGAGUAGGGUGUGCUUCGGAGCCACAGUGCUGGUGCCGGGCCCCUGCAGGGGUCCUGCACCGUGGGUGUUGAAGCACUGUUUUCUGGGCGCAGAGUGUCAGGCCGGCCUAGGAAGUGCUGUGAGCCAGGACUUAACUACAGAAAGCUCUGUGGUCUGCGCUGAACACCCUACACAGUCAUUCCUGCUACCUGGAGGGGGUUAGUCCCAGGAACCCUGCAGACGCCAGCAUCCAAGGAUGCUCCCGUCCUUCAUUUAUUAUUAUUAUUUUAUUAGGGACAGGGUCAUGCUGUGCAGUCCAUGGCAAACUCGGCAGUCUUCCUGCCUCAGCCUCCCCAGUGCCGGGAUAGCAGGUGAGCAACAGACACUACGCCUACCUGGAGCGCACAAGUGAUUGCAUAGAACGAUGCUCGUCCCCUGUACCUUAAGUCUCCUCACUGCGGGGCUUGGCUAACGUGACAUGGCUCAGGCUGUUACUGGGGUUCGGGUGCCAGAGUCUCCUUCUGGAGCUCGUUUCUGGAUUCUUCUUGACCUGAACAAAGAAUUGGACGACACAAGUGUGAGAGGCAGCAGGCUGUUACACGUGUCCAAGGCGGCUCUGCAGAGCGCGUGCUGGCCAGUGGCAGGUAGGAGGUCACACCCUGCAGGUGCAGUGUGGGCCGUGGGAGGGCUGGGUCCUCAGCUUGGCGCCUCUGUCUUUCACCCGCCUCCCCAGGAGACUCGGCUCUGUCACAUCAAGCACUGCUCUGGUGCUGCACCUGUUCACCUGAGCUGAAAUACAGUUGGAAAUCUUGGACACCAGGUGUGUGGGGACACCUGUGACCUCGGCAUCGGGAAGCUGAGUCAGGAGGAUUGCCACAAGUUUCAGGCCAGUCUGAACCACACAGUGGGCCCUCAUCUCACACUGCCCCCAGACACACAGAACUGGGCACCUUGUAUUCUUUCUGGAACCGUAUGGCCCAGGGAAGCGGUUACACUGUGAAGUGGUCAAAACACUGGGAGGGUGUGUUACACGUGCCCUCAUAGAGCCUGAUUCCUUUAUCAGAAGCACUGGGCCAAAUGCUGGUAGCUGUUAUCCAGCAAUUCUUUUCCUCUUUCUAUUAGUAGUAGAAGUUCCACAUUCACUCUGACAGUAAGGAGGAGAGAGGAGAAGAGAGUGAAGGAGAGAGGGAGAGAGAGGGCUCAGCAUCCCUUGCAGCUAGAAACCACCAGGUGCGUAUAAGUGAUAGCAGCCUGGAUACCUUCAGGUUCAUGUCCUUAAAGGGACAUAUGCCCCUUUGCCCACUCACUGGAACAAAGAUGAGGUGGUUGGAUCUGCGCAGCCACCUUGGGACAAAAGACAAAGGC
This 1593-nucleotide long non-coding RNA is filed under the name Fukomys damarensis (Damara mole-rat). RNAcentral describes it as "lncRNA (ENSFDAG00000027831.1)". The record is from RNAcentral. Lineage: Eukaryota; Metazoa; Chordata; Mammalia; Rodentia; Bathyergidae.